Molecule: transfer RNA, 80 nt
Filed under: Stenotrophomonas sp. MH181796
Lineage: Bacteria; Pseudomonadati; Pseudomonadota; Gammaproteobacteria; Lysobacterales; Lysobacteraceae
Description: tRNA-Ala
Rfam family: tRNA
About the family: Transfer RNA (tRNA) molecules are approximately 80 nucleotides in length. Their secondary structure includes four short double-helical elements and three loops (D, anti-codon, and T loops).
Source: RNAcentral
GGGGCCUUAGCUCAGCUGGGAGAGCACCUGCUUUGCAAGCAGGGGGUCGUCGNNNGGUUCGAUCCCGACAGGCUCCACCA